GAAACUUGGGAAGAACACCCAUCUAUCACUCAAGCUGUUCCAGUGAGCUUGUCCAAUGAAAAUGAGCAAGAGGAUGCUUGGGGUGAAGACCCAUCUAACUUUCAAGAGAACACAAUCUCUGAACAGAGACCCUCAAGUACCCACCAGGCAAGAACAAAUAGUGCUUCUGGUGUGAGACGAUGGAGCUGCA
Cyprinus carpio (common carp) is the source of this 190-nucleotide long non-coding RNA. RefSeq lists it as uncharacterized. Lineage: Eukaryota; Metazoa; Chordata; Actinopteri; Cypriniformes; Cyprinidae. The record is from RefSeq and is a predicted model, not a curated record. The transcript is spliced from 4 exons.